Non-coding RNA from Pan troglodytes (chimpanzee), 172 nucleotides. It matches the Rfam family "Metazoan signal recognition particle RNA". From Rfam's summary of the family: The signal recognition particle (SRP) is a universally conserved ribonucleoprotein. It is involved in the co-translational targeting of proteins to membranes. Lineage: Eukaryota; Metazoa; Chordata; Mammalia; Primates; Hominidae. The record is from Rfam.
GCCGGGCAUGGCGGCGUGUGCCUGUAGUCCCAGCUACUCGGGAGGCUGAGGCAGGAGAAUUGCUUGAACCCAGGAGGUGGAGGCUGCAGUGAGCCAAGAUCGUGCCACUGCAGUGACCUGAGAUCACGCCACUGCACUCCAGCCUGGGUGACAGAGCAAGACUCCGUUUCAA